Molecule: non-coding RNA, 116 nt
Filed under: Thermovenabulum gondwanense
Lineage: Bacteria; Bacillati; Bacillota; Clostridia; Thermosediminibacterales; Thermosediminibacteraceae
Description: TPP sequence
Rfam family: TPP riboswitch aptamer (THI element)
About the family: Vitamin B(1) in its active form thiamin pyrophosphate (TPP) is an essential coenzyme that is synthesised by coupling of pyrimidine and thiazole moieties in bacteria.
Source: Rfam by way of RNAcentral
UUAGACUACCGGGGGUGCUGCUUAAGUACUGCUUAAGCGGCUGAGACGGGAAAUUUUCCCGAACCCUUGAACCUGUUUGGGUAAUGCCAGCGGAGGGAAGGUAGUAAAAGUGUGAA